This 91-nucleotide transfer RNA is filed under the name Geobacter hydrogenophilus. RNAcentral describes it as "tRNA-Ser". The record is from RNAcentral. Lineage: Bacteria; Pseudomonadati; Thermodesulfobacteriota; Desulfuromonadia; Geobacterales; Geobacteraceae.
UGAUGACUUCGCAGGCGGGCUGCCGGGCCUUGAUUGCCUGCAGGAGGGUCAGGCCGUCGGUAUCCGGCAGUUUGAGGUCUACCAUCGCCAC